Non-coding RNA from Triticum aestivum (bread wheat), 72 nucleotides. Lineage: Eukaryota; Viridiplantae; Streptophyta; Magnoliopsida; Poales; Poaceae. The record is from Rfam.
GUCCCUUUUGUCCAGAGGCUAGGACAUCGUCUUUUCAUGUCAAAGACACGGGUUCGAUUCCUGUAAGGGAUA